GAGUAAUUGUGAAGUUUGCUGUGAUCCUUGGGUAAUUCAGAAGUUUGCUGUGAUCCUUGGGUUACAGACUCCCUUAAAUUUCAAGCUUCAAGAACUCGAUCUAAUUGUUAAGACUAGAUGUGCAGUACCUUCAUCUUAAUGCAGCUAUUGAUUCCAGCAUAGGCCUUAACCUAGCCCCUCUUUUUACAGUUACCAGCAACAAUUGGAAGUAAGGAUAUUAGUUUGUUUGGUGAAAUUGGAAUUGAAGUCCAUAUUAGGUAUGCCAUUACAUGCUUGAUCAGCGAUUCAGUUGGUUUGUAGUUUUCGAUUGCACUAAAUUUAUGAUGCAUUAGCAAUUAAGGAAGAAUUGCUCGAAGCUGUGAGGAAUUAAGGAGCAUAUUGAACA
This is a long non-coding RNA of Rosa rugosa (rugosa rose), 385 nucleotides long. RefSeq lists it as uncharacterized. The transcript is spliced from 3 exons. Lineage: Eukaryota; Viridiplantae; Streptophyta; Magnoliopsida; Rosales; Rosaceae. The record is from RefSeq and is a predicted model, not a curated record.